This 383-nucleotide long non-coding RNA is filed under the name Mytilus galloprovincialis (Mediterranean mussel). The record is from RNAcentral. Lineage: Eukaryota; Metazoa; Mollusca; Bivalvia; Mytilida; Mytilidae.
UUAUAAAAAAAUAAUUUACCUCCAUUAGCACUUUUAUCCAUUGUCUGAUCAAAAAGGAAAACGCAACUUGAAUAUUUAAACAGUGGUGUGUGUUCCGGAUGAUUGUUAUCUAACAUGAAAAACACGAGUGUCAUUCGGUUUAUCGAGAAAAAAAAUGAUCGUGAAAGAAUAACUAACGUUGAUCGAGCAUUACAACCGGAUCUUGAAAAAUAUGGUAUCGGAUAUUGAAUGCAGUUAUGUGUUAUUCUUCUUCAAAAUCUGUAAAAGGAUCUCCUGUAUCUUUAAAAGAUGGAACAAAUCAGAAGAAAAAAAUAUAUGUUGUGUAAAAAUGAUUGAACUUCCUAAAUUGUAUUGUGCAUUACGUUAAAGGACAAAUGCCGCAC